GCAUCUAUGGCAGAGUGGUCGAAUGCACCGCACUCAUAAUGCGGUUCUUAUCUAGACAGCAUUGGUUCGAAUCCAAUUGGAUGCA
Prototheca wickerhamii is the source of this 85-nucleotide non-coding RNA. The record is from the annotation of a GenBank genome assembly. Lineage: Eukaryota; Viridiplantae; Chlorophyta; Trebouxiophyceae; Chlorellales; Chlorellaceae.